UAGAGUUUUGAUCCUGGCUCAGGAUGAACGCUGGCGGCGUGCCUAACACAUGCAAGUCGAACGAAGCAUGCCGGAGGAAGUUUUCGGAUGGAAUCCGGGAUGACUGAGUGGCGGACGGGUGAGUAACGCGUGGGUAACCUGCCCUGUACAGGGGGACAACAGUUAGAAAUGACUGCUAAUACCGCAUAAGCGCACAGGACCGCAUGGUCCGGUGUGAAAAACUCCGGUGGUACAGGAUGGACCCGCGUCUGAUUAGGUAGUUGGCGGGGUAACGGCCCACCAAGCCGACGAUCAGUAGCCGACCUGAGAGGGUGACCGGCCACAUUGGGACUGAGACACGGCCCAAACUCCUACGGGAGGCAGCAGUGGGGAAUAUUGCACAAUGGGGGAAACCCUGAUGCAGCGACGCCGCGUGAGUGAAGAAGUAUUUCGGUAUGUAAAGCUCUAUCAGCAGGGAAGAAAAUGACGGUACCUGACUAAGAAGCCCCGGCCAACUACGUG
This 501-nucleotide ribosomal RNA is filed under the name uncultured Lachnospiraceae bacterium. Its description in RNAcentral is "bacterial SSU rRNA". It matches the Rfam family "Bacterial small subunit ribosomal RNA", at positions 1 to 507 of the family's 1533-position model. The record is from RNAcentral. Lineage: Bacteria; Bacillati; Bacillota; Clostridia; Lachnospirales; Lachnospiraceae.